UACGUAGGGGGCAAGCGUUAUCCGGAUUUACUGGGUGUAAAGGGGGCGCAGACGGCGAUGCAAGCCAGGAGUGAAAGCCCGGGGCCCAACCCCGGGACUGCUCUUGGAACUGCGUGGCUGGAGUGCAGGAGGGGCAGGCGGAAUUCCUGGUGUAGCGGUGAAAUGCGUAGAUAUCAGGAGGAACAUCGGUGGCGAAAGCGCUUUACUGGACCAUUAUUGACGCUGAGGAACGAAAGCCAGGGGAGCAAAUGGG
Molecule: ribosomal RNA, 253 nt
Filed under: uncultured Eubacteriales bacterium
Lineage: Bacteria; Bacillati; Bacillota; Clostridia; Eubacteriales
Description: uncultured Clostridiales bacterium partial 16S ribosomal RNA
Rfam family: Bacterial small subunit ribosomal RNA
Source: RNAcentral